This 1372-nucleotide ribosomal RNA is filed under the name uncultured bacterium. Its description in RNAcentral is "bacterial SSU rRNA". It matches the Rfam family "Bacterial small subunit ribosomal RNA", at positions 28 to 1381 of the family's 1533-position model. The record is from RNAcentral.
GAUGAACGCUGGCGGCGUGCCUAAUACAUGCAAGUCGAGCGAACGGACGAGAAGCUUGCUUCUCUGAUGUUAGCGGCGGACGGGUGAGUAACACGUGGAUAACCUACCUAUAAGACUGGGAUAACUUCGGGAAACCGGAGCUAAUACCGGAUAAUAUUUUGAACCGCAUGGUUCAAAAGUGAAAGACGGUCUUGCUGUCACUUAUAGAUGGAUCCGCGCUGCAUUAGCUAGUUGGUAAGGUAACGGCUUACCAAGGCAACGAUGCAUAGCCGACCUGAGAGGGUGAUCGGCCACACUGGAACUGAGACACGGUCCAGACUCCUACGGGAGGCAGCAGUAGGGAAUCUUCCGCAAUGGGCGAAAGCCUGACGGAGCAACGCCGCGUGAGUGAUGAAGGUCUUCGGAUCGUAAAGCUCUGUUAUUAGGGAAGAACAUAUGUGUAAGUAACUGUGCACAUCUUGACGGUACCUAAUCAGAAAGCCACGGCUAACUACGUGCCAGCAGCCGCGGUAAUACGUAGGUGGCAAGCGUUAUCCGGAAUUAUUGGGCGCAAAGCGCGCGUAGGCGGUUUUUUAAGUCUGAUGUGAAAGCCCACGGCUCAACCGUGGAGGGUCAUUGGAAACUGGAAAACUUGAGUGCAGAAGAGGAAAGUGGAAUUCCAUGUGUAGCGGUGAAAUGCGCAGAGAUAUGGAGGAACACCAGUGGCGAAGGCGACUUUCUGGUCUGUAACUGACGCUGAUGUGCGAAAGCGUGGGGAUCAAACAGGAUUAGAUACCCUGGUAGUCCACGCCGUAAACGAUGAGUGCUAAGUGUUAGGGGGUUUCCGCCCCUUAGUGCUGCAGCUAACGCAUUAAGCACUCCGCCUGGGGAGUACGACCGCAAGGUUGAAACUCAAAGGAAUUGACGGGGACCCGCACAAGCGGUGGAGCAUGUGGUUUAAUUCGAAGCAACGCGAAGAACCUUACCAAAUCUUGACAUCCUUUGACAACUCUAGAGAUAGAGCUUUCCCCUUCGGGGGACAAAGUGACAGGUGGUGCAUGGUUGUCGUCAGCUCGUGUCGUGAGAUGUUGGGUUAAGUCCCGCAACGAGCGCAACCCUUAAGCUUAGUUGCCAUCAUUAAGUUGGGCACUCUAAGUUGACUGCCGGUGACAAACCGGAGGAAGGUGGGGAUGACGUCAAAUCAUCAUGCCCCUUAUGAUUUGGGCUACACACGUGCUACAAUGGACAAUACAAAGGGCAGCGAAACCGCGAGGUCAAGCAAAUCCCAUAAAGUUGUUCUCAGUUCGGAUUGUAGUCUGCAACUCGACUACAUGAAGCUGGAAUCGCUAGUAAUCGUAGAUCAGCAUGCUACGGUGAAUACGUUCCCGGGUCU